UACGAAGGUGGCAAGCGUUGUUCGGAAUUACUGGGCGUAAAGCGCGUGUAGGCGGCUCUUCAAGUCAGACGUGAAAGCCCCAGGCUCAACCUGGGAACUGCGUUUGAUACUGUCGAGCUAGAGUGUGGAAGGGGCAAUCGGAAUUCCGUGUGUAGCGGUGAAAUGCGUAGAUAUACGGAGGAACACCAGAGGCGAAGGCGGAUUGCUGGGCCAACACUGACGCUGAGACGCGAAAGCCAGGGUAGCAAACGGG
This 253-nucleotide ribosomal RNA is filed under the name uncultured bacterium. Its description in RNAcentral is "partial 16S ribosomal RNA". It matches the Rfam family "Bacterial small subunit ribosomal RNA", at positions 524 to 776 of the family's 1533-position model. The record is from RNAcentral.